This is a long non-coding RNA of Vicia villosa (hairy vetch), 296 nucleotides long. RefSeq lists it as uncharacterized. NCBI's taxonomy places the organism in Eukaryota, Viridiplantae, Streptophyta, Magnoliopsida, Fabales, Fabaceae. The record is from RefSeq and is a predicted model, not a curated record. The transcript is spliced from 2 exons.
AAAUCAUUUCCUAUAUGAUUCAUUCAAUCCAUUUACAGGGUGGAAAGUAUGGAAAAAUUUAUUAAGUUUGUUUAUGUUCUAUUCAUAUAUUUUUCUCUUCUUAUUUUUACACCCAUCGUCAAUGGGGGAGCAAUUAAGUGUGAAACUGUUGCUGAUUGUCCAAAUAAUUUGUGUGCGCGUGGUUUAACACAGAAGUGUUAUUUUAAACGUUGUAUAUGUGUUUGAAUAACUACUCGUAUGAUAUGAGUGAUAAACCAAUAAAGUAUAAAAAAUUAAUAUUGUGUUAGAAUAUUCAA